Molecule: ribosomal RNA, 38 nt
Filed under: Alternaria sp. F2
Lineage: Eukaryota; Fungi; Ascomycota; Dothideomycetes; Pleosporales; Pleosporaceae
Also listed under: 2 other names
Description: partial 28S ribosomal RNA
Source: RNAcentral
GGAUCAGGUAGGGAUACCCGCUGAACUUAAGCAUAUCA